GUGUCAGCAGCCGCGGCAAUACGGAGGGUGCAAGCGUUAUCCGGAUUCACUGGGUUUAAAGGGUGCGUAGGUGGGUAUGUAAGUCAGUGGUGAAAUCCCCGAUCUUAACUUGGGAACUGCCGUUGAUACUAUAUAUCUUGAAUGUCGUAGAGGUAAGCGGAAUAUGUCAUGUAGCGGUGAAAUGCUUAGAUAUGACAUAGAACACCGAUUGCGAAGGCAGCUUACUACACGAUCAUUGACACUGAGGCACGAAAGCGUGGGGAGCAAACAGGAUUAGAUACCCUGGUAGUCC
This 292-nucleotide ribosomal RNA is filed under the name uncultured bacterium. Its description in RNAcentral is "partial 16S ribosomal RNA". It matches the Rfam family "Bacterial small subunit ribosomal RNA", at positions 505 to 796 of the family's 1533-position model. The record is from RNAcentral.